RNAcentral lists this transfer RNA (69 nucleotides) under Mansonia uniformis. Its description in RNAcentral is "tRNA-Trp". Lineage: Eukaryota; Metazoa; Arthropoda; Insecta; Diptera; Culicidae. The record is from RNAcentral.
AAGAAUUUAAGUUAAAUAAACUAAUGGCCUUCAAAGCUAAAAAUAUUUGUAUUAAUCCUUUAAUUCUUA